GAUGAAGAACGCAGCGAAAUGCGAUAAGUAAUGCGAAUUGCAGAAUUUCCGUGAGUCAUCGAAUCUUUGAACGCACAUUGCGCCCACUGGUAUUCCGGUGGGCAUGCCUGUUCGAGCGUCAUUAUCCUCCCUCAAACCCCGGGUUUGGUGUUGGACCCAAGUUGUGUGAACAACUGGUCUUAAAGACGAUGACGGCGUCCGUGGGACCCUCGGUGCAACGAGCUUUUAGGAGCACGCAUCGAGUUGCAAGGACCUUCCGGGCCGGUCUCCUUUACUAUUUUACAAGGUUGACCUCGGAUCAGGUAGGAAUACCCGCUGAACUUAAGCAUAUCAAUAAGCGGAGGA
This 345-nucleotide unclassified non-coding RNA is filed under the name soil metagenome. RNAcentral's name for it is "partial contains 5.8S ribosomal RNA, internal transcribed spacer 2, and large subunit ribosomal RNA". The stretch from base 1 to 121 matches the Rfam family "5.8S ribosomal RNA", at positions 35 to 154 of the family's 154-position model. The record is from RNAcentral.